GCAAAACGCGAAGAACCUUACCCACCUUUGACAUGUACGGAAUCCUUUAGAGAUAGAGGAGUGCUCGAAAGAGAGCCGUAACACAGGUGCUGCAUGGCUGUCGUCAGCUCGUGUCGUGAGAUGUUGGGUUAAGUCCCGCAACGAGCGCAACCCUUGCCAUUAGUUGCUACAUUUAGUUGAGCACUCUAAUGGGACUGCCGGUGACAAACCGGAGGAAGGUGGGGAUGACGUCAAGUCCUCAUGGCCCUUAUAGGUGGGGCUACACACGUCGUACAAUGGCUGGUACAAAGGGUUGCCAACCCGCGAGGGGGAGCUAAUCCCAUAAAGCCAGUCGUAGUCCGGAUCGCAGUCUGCAACUCGACUGCGUGAAGUCGGAAUCGCUAGUAAUCGUGGAUCAGAAUGUCACGGUGAAUACGUUCCCGGGUCUUGUACACACCG
Molecule: ribosomal RNA, 438 nt
Filed under: uncultured bacterium
Lineage: Bacteria
Description: bacterial SSU rRNA
Rfam family: Bacterial small subunit ribosomal RNA
Source: RNAcentral